This 508-nucleotide ribosomal RNA is filed under the name Salmonella enterica subsp. enterica serovar Oranienburg. Its description in RNAcentral is "bacterial LSU rRNA". It matches the Rfam family "Bacterial large subunit ribosomal RNA", at positions 331 to 844 of the family's 2925-position model. Lineage: Bacteria; Pseudomonadati; Pseudomonadota; Gammaproteobacteria; Enterobacterales; Enterobacteriaceae. The record is from RNAcentral.
AGUGGAAGCGUCUGGAAAGGCGCGCGAUACAGGGUGACAGCCCCGUACACAAAAGCGCAUGUGCUGUGAGCUCGAUGAGUAGGGCGGGACACGUGGUAUCCUGUCUGAAUAUGGGGGGACCAUCCUCCAAGGCUAAAUACUCCUGACUGACCGAUAGUGAACCAGUACCGUGAGGGAAAGGCGAAAAGAACCCCGGCGAGGGGAGUGAAAAAGAACCUGAAACCGUGUACGUACAAGCAGUGGGAGCACCCUUUGGGGUGUGACUGCGUACCUUUUGUAUAAUGGGUCAGCGACUUAUAUUCUGUAGCAAGGUUAACCGAAUAGGGGAGCCGGAGGGAAACCGAGUCUUAACCGGGCGUUAAGUUGCAGGGUAUAGACCCGAAACCCGGUGAUCUAGCCAUGGGCAGGUUGAAGGUUGGGUAACACUAACUGGAGGACCGAACCGACUAAUGUUGAAAAAUUAGCGGAUGACCUGUGGCUGGGGGUGAAAGGCCAAUCAAACCGGGAG